GGGGACCUUCGGGGCCCUUCACACCAUAGCCGCCCCACGGGGUGGCGCACAGCUAAACGGAAGACAGACA
Non-coding RNA from Sulfitobacter sp., 70 nucleotides. The record is from Rfam. NCBI's taxonomy places the organism in Bacteria, Pseudomonadati, Pseudomonadota, Alphaproteobacteria, Rhodobacterales, Roseobacteraceae.